This 253-nucleotide ribosomal RNA is filed under the name uncultured bacterium. Its description in RNAcentral is "partial 16S ribosomal RNA". It matches the Rfam family "Bacterial small subunit ribosomal RNA", at positions 524 to 776 of the family's 1533-position model. The record is from RNAcentral.
UACGGAGGGUGCAAGCGUUAUCCGGAAUUACUGGGUUUAAAGGGUGCGUAGGCGGCUAAGUAAGUCAGAGGUGAAAGCCCGGAGCUUAACUUCGGAAAUGCCUUUGAUACUGCGUAGCUUGAAAGAGGUUGAGGUCAGCGGAAUGUGACAUGUAGCGGUGAAAUGCAUAGAUAUGUCAUAGAACACCAAUUGCGAAGGCAGCUGGCUGGGCCUACUUUGACGCUGAGGCACGAAAGCGUGGGGAGCGAACAGG